ACCCGCACAAGCAGCGGAGCGUGUGGUUUAAUUCGAUGCUACACGAAGAACCUUACCAGGGUUUGACAUGUAAGUGGUAGUGAUCUGAAAAGUGAACGACCCUUCGGGGAGCUUACACAGGUGCUGCAUGGCUGUCGUCAGCUCGUGUCGUGAGAUGUUCGGUUAAGUCCGCUAACGAGCGCAACCCUCACUGUGUGUUAUACGUGUCACACGGGACUGCCGGUUUUAAGCCGGAGGAAGGCGAGGAUGACGUCAAGUCAGCAUGGCCUUUAUAUCCUGGGCUACACACACGCUACAAUGGUCUGUACAACAGGUUGCCAAACCGCGAGGUGGAGCCAAUCCCUAAAACAGGCCUCAGUUCAGAUUGCAGGCUGCAACCCCGCCUGCAUGAAGCCGGAGUUGCUAGUAACCGCAGGUCCAGCUAUAACUGACGGUGAAUACGUCCCGGGUCUUG
This 454-nucleotide ribosomal RNA is filed under the name uncultured Anaerolineaceae bacterium. RNAcentral describes it as "bacterial SSU rRNA". It matches the Rfam family "Bacterial small subunit ribosomal RNA", at positions 919 to 1383 of the family's 1533-position model. Lineage: Bacteria; Bacillati; Chloroflexota; Anaerolineae; Anaerolineales; Anaerolineaceae. The record is from RNAcentral.